GACGAACGCUGGCGGCGUGCCUAAUACAUGCAAGUAGAACGCUGAAGGAGGAGCUUGCUCUUCUGGAUGAGUUGCGAACGGGUGAGUAACGCGUAGGUAACCUGCCUGGUAGCGGGGGAUAACUAUUGGAAACGAUAGCUAAUACCGCAUAAUAGUAGAUGUUGCAUGACAUUUACUUAAAAGGUGCAAUUGCAUCACUACCAGAUGGACCUGCGUUGUAUUAGCUAGUUGGUGGGGUAACGGCUCACCAAGGCGACGAUACAUAGCCGACCUGAGAGGGUGAUCGGCCACACUGGGACUGAGACACGGCCCAGACUCCUACGGGAGGCAGCAGUAGGGAAUCUUCGGCAAUGGACGGAAGUCUGACCGAGCAACGCCGCGUGAGUGAAGAAGGUUUUCGGAUCGUAAAGCUCUGUUGUAAGAGAAGAACGAGUGUGAGAGUGGAAAGUUCACACUGUGACGGUAUCUUACCAGAAAGGACGGCU
Molecule: ribosomal RNA, 485 nt
Filed under: Streptococcus sp. oral taxon 064
Lineage: Bacteria; Bacillati; Bacillota; Bacilli; Lactobacillales; Streptococcaceae
Description: bacterial SSU rRNA
Rfam family: Bacterial small subunit ribosomal RNA
Source: RNAcentral